Molecule: ribosomal RNA, 305 nt
Filed under: uncultured bacterium
Lineage: Bacteria
Description: bacterial SSU rRNA
Rfam family: Bacterial small subunit ribosomal RNA
Source: RNAcentral
UCCAUCCUACGGGAGGCAGCAGUGAGGAAUAUUGGUCAAUGGACGAGAGUCUGAACCAGCCAAGUAGCGUGAAGGAUGACUGCCCUAUGGGUUGUAAACUUCUUUUAUAUGGGAAUAAAGUUUUCCACGUGUGGAAUAUUGUAUGUACCAUCAGAAAAAGGACCGGCUAAUUCCGUGCCAGCAGCCGCGGUAAUACGGAAGGUCCGGGCGUUAUCCGGAUUUAUUGGGUUUAAAGGGUGCGCAGGCGGAAGAUCAAGUCAGCGGUAAAAUUGAGAGGCUCAACCUCUUCGAGCCGUUGAAACUGG